AGGACGAACGCUGGCGGCGUGCUUAACACAUGCAAGUCGAGCGGAAAGGCCCUUCGGGGUACUCGAGCGGCGAACGGGUGAGUAACACGUGAGUAAUCUGCCCCUAGCUCUGGGAUAGGCUCCGGGAAACCGGGAUUAAUACCGGAUACGACCACCUUAGACAUCUUUUGUGGUGGAAAGAAUUUCGGCUAGGGAUGAGCUCGCGGCCUAUCAGCUUGUUGGUGGGGUAACGGCCUACCAAGGCGACGAC
This 250-nucleotide ribosomal RNA is filed under the name uncultured bacterium. Its description in RNAcentral is "partial small subunit ribosomal RNA". It matches the Rfam family "Bacterial small subunit ribosomal RNA", at positions 26 to 280 of the family's 1533-position model. The record is from RNAcentral.